Molecule: long non-coding RNA, 1456 nt
Filed under: Sus scrofa (pig)
Lineage: Eukaryota; Metazoa; Chordata; Mammalia; Artiodactyla; Suidae
Description: lncRNA (ENSSSCG00005013261.1)
Source: RNAcentral
CAGGUCAGACAUGCACGAGGGGCCGCCUUUUCCUCUAGUUUCAGCAGCCCCUCCCCAGUCUGGGAGAUCCAAUCAUCUCCUGUCCCUCUUCUCUUGGACUCCCGGGCUCUUUUGAACAUGCACCAGGGGGCAGAAGGAAGGGACUUCCGUGCCAGAACACCCAGUGCUGGCAGACAUCGAGGGCUGAUGUUUUCCUAAGCUCAGGGCAUUGCCGCUUUCUGCUGUGUCCUUCCAGCUGUGCAGUGCAGCUCAAGGCUUCUGUUCUUCUGUUUCUCCACGUCUUCUGGGUUCAUCUAAAACCCACCAGCAAAGCUCAGCGCUCAGGCUGCCCCUCCGCCACUGACUGCAUCCCUGACGCUCACCGCCCAGUACUGUCCAUCCUUGUGUUGCUGCCUUUUUGGUUGAAAGAGCAGCAGUUCUCCAGCACUGAGAGCGUCCAGUAAGUAUUUCCGAAUUAUUCUUUCAUUCAUUUGCCACCUGCUUUCAAAGAACAUUCAUGCGGUGCCGUAUGUGCCAGGCAUUAUUCUGGGUGCUGGAGAGACAAAGAUGGCCACUCGGCUACUUCUCAUGCCAGGAAAUCUUUCAUGUGGAGUUCCCAUCGUGGUGCAGUGGAAAUGAACCCAACUGCGAACCAUGAGGUUGCGGGUUCAGAUGGGGGGAGGGAGGGUGAGAUACCUGAGCAGGGCAGUUCUGCAAGUGAUGCGAAUGAUGCCAGGAAAGGAGAGUAGGUUUUAUUACAAGCCUGGUCAGGGACAGGGUGACAGGGCUGUGAGGGAGUCAGACCUACCUGCACCAGCUUUCCGGUAAUGCUGGGACUCCGACUCUGCCUAUACGCCCCAUUGCCGAUCCCACCCUCAGGCCUUGCCUCUAGGCAUCCCGUCUCCUUUUGCCUGAAACAAUCUUCCCUGUAGAUCCCUCAGAUACACUGCUCGCCAUCCCUGAUGAGGGGAAUUACCCCGCAUCUGCAGUCUUCCUGACUCCCGCUGGCUUGUUCUUUGUUCCUUAGCAACUUUAUCACCUUUUAACCAUCUUAGUAGUUUGCCUGCCUGUUUACUCUUUUUUAAAAAUUGCUAUUGCAGUGCAGUUGAUCUAUAGCACUGUGUUGGUUUCAGGUGUACCGCAGAGUAAAUCAGUUAUUUACUUUUUAUGCCCAUCUUUCUCCUCUUACAUACGCUGGUUGAGACCAGGUGAUUGUGUGUUUUGUUCACAGAUACAUCCCACUUGCCCACAUUCAUGCCUGGCACGAGAAACUAUUUCUUGAAUGACCAGUUAAAUCCCUAUCUUCAUUCCUUGAAAUAACAUGGAAAGAAUCCUUUUUAGAAUUUUUUCUUUCUUUCUUUCUUUCUUUUUUCUUUUUUUUCUUUUUUUCUUUUUUUGGCUUUUUAAGGCUGCAGUCACAGCCUAUGGCGCCUCCCAGGCUAAGGGUUGAAUCAGAGCCACAGCCAUAGAAACACCG